RNAcentral lists this ribosomal RNA (495 nucleotides) under uncultured bacterium. RNAcentral's name for it is "partial 16S ribosomal RNA". It matches the Rfam family "Bacterial small subunit ribosomal RNA", at positions 28 to 507 of the family's 1533-position model. The record is from RNAcentral.
GACGAACGCUGGCGGCGUGCCUAAUACAUGCAAGUAGAACGCUGAAGGAGGAGCUUGCUCUUCUGGAUGAGUUGCGAACGGGUGAGUAACGCGUAGGUAACCUGCCUGGUAGCGGGGGAUAACUAUUGGAAACGAUAGCUAAUACCGCAUAAGAGUAGAUGUUGCAUGACAUUUGCUUAAAAGGUGCAAUUGCAUCACUACCAGAUGGACCUGCGUUGUAUUAGCUAGUUGGUGGGGUAACGGCUCACCAAGGCGACGAUUCAUAGCCGACCUGGGAGGGUGAUCGGCCACACUGGGACUGAGACACGGCCCAGACUCCUACGGGAGGCAGCAGUAGGGAAUCUUCGGUAAUGGACGGAAGUCUGACCGAGCAACGCCGCGUGAGUGAAGAAGGUUUUCGGAUCGUAAAGCUCUGUUGUAAGAGAAGAACGAGUGUGAGAGUGGAAAGUUCACACUGUGACGGUAUCUUACCAGAAAGGGACGGCUAACUACGUG